This is a long non-coding RNA of Cebus imitator (Panamanian white-faced capuchin), 121 nucleotides long. RefSeq lists it as uncharacterized. The transcript has 2 exons. The record is from RefSeq and is a predicted model, not a curated record. Lineage: Eukaryota; Metazoa; Chordata; Mammalia; Primates; Cebidae.
AAGCAACAUAGUGAGACCCCAUCUCUACCAUAAAAAAGCGGUGUCAGUCUCGCAGCCUGUCGGUCUCGAAGCUCACCCAGAGGAGAGCUUCGGACUGCUCCGGAUGUGGCUGUUUUUGGCU